Oreochromis niloticus (Nile tilapia) is the source of this 2858-nucleotide long non-coding RNA. Lineage: Eukaryota; Metazoa; Chordata; Actinopteri; Cichliformes; Cichlidae. The record is from Ensembl.
CAAUAAUGAUUAAGUUGUUGGGCGGUGAAAGAGCUGGUUAAGAUCCUUGUGGAUUGAUCAUACUGGGCUGUGAGACUGCUAAUUUUCUGGGACCUGAGUUCAGACUUGGGUGGGUAUGAUUGUUCAAAAGCUUUGUGCUUUGUCUCAUAGUGGCGUUUGACAUUGCCACUUUUAAUCAAUGCCAUGGUUUCUGAACAUAUGAGACACACUGGUUUGCUGCUUGCGGCCGGAAGAAUGAGCAUAUAUGCGUCGGUCCAUUCAGUCUUGAAAGUUCUAUUUUUGGUGUCUACUUUUUUCUUUUUUGAAAGUACCAUAGUUGUUUUACCUCUUGUGACUCCCACUCACGUCGUGUCUCACUGUAUCGUUAAUCGUCUCGCUUGUCAUUCGCCUCUCACCGUCUCUUUCCUCUGUCUGUCUGUGUCUGCACUCAGCGUUGCAAUCGCUUUGAAUGCGCAGAUGUGAUUGGCUAAGUAGUGUCACGUGGGUGGCUUAACUUGCACACAAUUGGUUUGUAUGUUCCCUGGUCUAAUACAAUGUAACGUUACCGCUUAAAAUUGAAUCGCCCCGUCAAAAUUAAAUAUAAUUUAACAUUUUGUUAACUAUACGUCCGAGUCCAUAUAGCAUGGCGUCUGGGUUCGGACUCGGACCCUGGUCCACCUGUUAGUGACCCCUGCUAUAUAUGAUUUAGAAAUUAAUCAUUUUACUACUAUAAAAUCUCAUCAUCUAAGUAGACAAACUAUGUACUAAUGUACAUAUAUUAUUUACUAAAAUUAAUAUGUUAUAAAACUUAUUGUUUGCAAGCUGCUGAAAAUGGGAGACCAAUAACUAAUGGGUCUCUAUUCCUAUAAAGUGGACCAGAAAAAGGUUAGUUCAGUCAAAAUGAAAGUAAAAUUGCAGCUAAUGCACGUGAGAUGAAAGAAAGUGAAAGGACAACAGAGUAUAGGGAACCUUUCAAACACGCCACCUCAUUGUGUUUUCAUUCUUUACCAGCACAGCACAUCAGAUCGUCCUCCAUUCACAAAGCAGUGAUGGCAGAAGCAGCUACCAGAACAAGAGGGCGAACUUGCUUCAGAUUCAUCAAGUGCUUGUUUGUCUUUAUAAUUCUGCUCAUCUUAUCUCUUCUUUUCCUUAUUUUCAUGGCAAUCUGGGCCAAGGACCAAGUGGUUCAGCAAAUACUGAAAAGAGUAAGUGAAGACAUUAACAAACGCAAGGAAGAUGGCGUGUAUAGAAGACCAGCAAUCACAAAAAUAUUUAAUCUCGCAAGUUCACUGGAUAGCAACGAAAAACUGGAAAUAUUCAAGGAAACCAUUCAAAUAGCGAUAGAACAGGAAGAGAGACUGAAGGAAGAAUCCAGGUACAAAAUGACAACCCUCUCAAAACAAUUCAAUGAAAAAAGGAAGGAAUUAGUUCGUGAAUUGGAAGAAGCAAUGUUAUUAUCACAUGAUUCUCCACCACUCCAGGAAAUAGUUGACAUUGCAUUUCACAUGUUGAAAAAAACCGGAGCUUACAUAGACAAGAAGCUGGAUUUGCUGCAAAAAUAGAGAACUCGGAAAAGAUAAAUCACAGGAGUAAAUGAUGAGCUUCAGAAAAUUGUAAGAGAAACAAUAAAUUGAACUUGUGUUUCUGUUUUCAUUUGUUGACCUAUGUAACGUAUAUCAUGUAUUUGUGAAAGGACAUAAUCUGAAUUGUUUUUGUGACUUUCUUUAAUUGUAUACUUCUUAGCUGCGUAAGAUCUUGUCCUAUAAUGUUCCCUGAGUGAUAUUAUAAAGUGAAAAGCUUCACUCCUGGUGUGAGGCCUCAGCAAGGCAGUGUAGGCAGCACAACUUGUCAGUUUUCUGCAGUUAUUUACGUUCCAGUGUUGCAGUUGUUUAGGCUGUGUUUAACUUCCUUAUCACAUAGAGACCAGAAAAAGGCAGACCUGCAUAGUGUAUGAUCCGUUCUGUUCUGAAACUAAACCUGAGGUUUCCAAAUCUAGCUAAUGCUUCCACAUGUAUGAUCUGGUGUUGGCAGCAUGUAACCAGUCACAGACAUGAACAGGUCUACUGGCAAGUUGUGCUCCCACCUCAUGGAUUCUCUGCUGACAGUAAUAAUAUUUUGAUCAUAUUUGCUAAUGUGAUCAAAACAAAACAAAAAUGUUUUGAUCACAUUACACAAGAAUAUUGAACACAUAAACACAUAUAGUACAUUGUAUGAGUGUGUGUGUGUGUGUGUGUUUGUUGAUGUUUAAUUUACUUCUUUACUUAGAAGCGUUUUUCUGAUUAGAAAAAUACUGCUACAGUGUAUACCAUUACAUAUUAACAUAUAUUAAUUUAGGUAAUAAAAAUUCUUGGUGAUUUAUGUCAAUUAAGGAUUUGUAACUGUGCAAACUGUGACAUUUAUGGGGAAAUAAAGCGGUUGUGGCUUCUUGGUUCUUAUAAACUUGAACGGUACAGUUCUGUCAUGAAAGUCCAAUCAGUAUCAAACAAUUACAAUUUGAGAUAUAUAAUUAUAUUGUUUAUAAUGGCCUUUUUUCCAUAAAUUUAGCAUAGCAUAUGGUCAUUUUUAAUGUGGUCAUUAUCUCAUAAUUAUGACAUAAUUCAUGAAAUAUAUGAAUGAUUAAUGGGUUAAGUUAUUUAGUUCAACACGAAGGUACUGACUAAGUCUCUGGCUUUAUGUCAUUGAAAGUUUAAUGUAUGGAUGAACUGAGCAGUUGUAAUCAUUGAUUAAAGAGGGUGAAAUUUGAAUAAUACAUAAAUAUAUUUAUGAAAAUCUCAAUCUAAACAUUUGUGAAUAUUUUUUGAGUGGUGUGUAUGGUGUGCUCAAUACACACCCAUGCAGUGAGCUAAUAUUGAGUAUGAUGAUGGAGGACAAGACACUGG